CAGCAGCAGCCGCGGGAAUACGUAGGUGGCAAGCGUUGUCCGGAAUUAUUGGGCGUAAAGGGCUCGCAGGCGGUUUCUUAAGUCUGAUGUGAAAGCCCCCGGCUCAACCGGGGAGGGUCAUUGGAAACUGGGAAACUUGAGUGCAGAAGAGGAGAGUGGAAUUCCACGUGUAGCGGUGAAAUGCGUAGAGAUGUGGAGGAACACCAGUGGCGAAGGCGACUCUCUGGUCUGUAACUGGCGCUGAGGAGCGAAAGCGUGGGGAGCAAACAGGAUUAGAUACCCGCGUAGUCCCUGUCUCUUAUAC
RNAcentral lists this ribosomal RNA (304 nucleotides) under uncultured bacterium. Its description in RNAcentral is "partial 16S ribosomal RNA". It matches the Rfam family "Bacterial small subunit ribosomal RNA", at positions 506 to 807 of the family's 1533-position model. The record is from RNAcentral.